CCUACGGGAGGCUGCAGUGAGGAAUAUUGGUCAAUGGGCGCGAGCCUGAACCAGCCAAGUAGCGUGAAGGAUGACUGCCCUACGGGUUGUAAACUUCUUUUAUAAAGGAAUAAAGUGAGGCACGUGUGCCUUUUUGCAUGUACUUUAUGAAUAAGGAUCGGCUAACUCCGUCCCAGCAGCCGCGGUAAUACGGAGGAUCCGAGCGUUAUCCGGAUUUAUUGGGUUUAAAGGGAGCGUAGGUGGAUUGUUAAGUCAGUUGUGAAAGUUUGCGGCGCAACCCUAAAAUUGCAGUUGAAACUGGGAGUCUUGAGUGCAGUAGAGGUGGGCGGAAUUCGUGGUGUAGCGGUGAAAUGCUUAGAUAUCACGAAGAACUCCGAUUGCGAAGGCAGCUCGCUGGACUGCAACUGACACUGAGGCUCGAAAGUGUGGGUAUCAAACAGGAUUAGAUACCCGGGUAGUC
RNAcentral lists this ribosomal RNA (460 nucleotides) under uncultured bacterium. Its description in RNAcentral is "partial 16S ribosomal RNA". It matches the Rfam family "Bacterial small subunit ribosomal RNA", at positions 338 to 795 of the family's 1533-position model. The record is from RNAcentral.